RNAcentral lists this ribosomal RNA (467 nucleotides) under uncultured bacterium. RNAcentral describes it as "partial 16S ribosomal RNA". It matches the Rfam family "Bacterial small subunit ribosomal RNA", at positions 28 to 507 of the family's 1533-position model. The record is from RNAcentral.
GACGAACGCUGGCGGCGUGCUUAACACAUGCAAGUCGAACGGAAAGACCUCUUUCGGGGGGUACUCGAGUGGCGAACGGGUGAGUAACACGUAAGUAGCCUGCCCUUGACUUUGGGAUAACUUACGUAAACAGGGGCUAAUACCGGAUAGGAGAUCCUUCUGCCUGGAGGGGGUUGGAAAGUUUCGGCGGUUGGGGGUGGGCUCGCGGGGUAUCAGCUUGUUGGUGGGGUAGUGGCUUACCAAGGCGUUGACGGGUAACCGGCCUGAGAGGGUGACAGGCCACAUUGGGACUGAGAGACGGCACAGGCUGCGACGGGUGGGAGCAGGGGGGAAGCUUGCACAAGGGGUGGAAGCCUGAUGCAGAAACGCCGCGUGCGGGAUGACGGUCUUCGGGUUGUAAACCGCUUGCGCACAUGACGAAGCUCUGUGUGACGGUAGUGGGUAAAGAAGCACCGGCUAACUACGUG